RNAcentral lists this long non-coding RNA (1545 nucleotides) under Cairina moschata (Muscovy duck). Its description in RNAcentral is "domestica (muscovy Duck (domestic type)) lncRNA (ENSCMMG00000004523.1)". The record is from RNAcentral. Lineage: Eukaryota; Metazoa; Chordata; Aves; Anseriformes; Anatidae.
UCAGGUCUCUCUUUUUGUCUGGGAGAAAGGAAGGAGAGCGGAUUAGCCAGCCCACGUUGGGUAACCACAAAUCUUCGGGAGGGAUCCACAGGGAAGCACACCCCAAACAGCCCGAUACCAGAUGCAAUCAACACGUUGAUAUAUUUACCAACAGCCAGCUCUACUUUCAUCAGCUACUGCCUGUCCAACACACAAAAAGACCAACCUGACAGGUGGGUACCUGCAGUCGCUGAAGCCCCACUUGUAUCUUGCAUGGAGCACCCGCCGUCAGGGCAAAGGGGCUGGGCAGGCUGGGGACUUUGGGCAUCACUUGAAAUAAAAUACUGGCCUGAACGACAGCCCAGUAAGGCGUGACUUUGUUCCCAAAUGUCAGCUCUUUCCUUCUGAACUUGGUUUGUUUGCUGUAUUUAGUGCAGCAACUGUCUUUUUCACUGUCCAAGGAACUGCCCCGUUGAGUGCUCUGCCUUCCCUUGGGCUCGUUUAAAUCUCUCUUAAGAAAAAAGAAGUGAUCCUUAUCUUAAUAUACAGCAAUUGUGAGCAGUGGAGAGCAAUACAGAAGAGCUUUGAGUUAUAAGAGAGGAUUCGGUGAUGCAGUACGAGCACCGUGUCCCUGAAUACAGAGCAAACCACAACCGAGGUGGGAUGAAAAGCCCACCCUGCCCGUGGGCAGCUCAGGCAGGCUCCGGGCCUGGCCCUGACUGCAAAAACACCAAGAGUGCUAUUAACUCGUAGUCUACAGCCUUGAUGUGCAAUGGGAAACCAAAGCGUGAGUCAAGGAUCAAACCUGUGACAUCCCACCGCCCAGUUUGACACAGGAGGUGACAAAUGCCAGCUUGCUCUGCCAGCUUCCCUGCCUGACACGUGCCCUGGCCAGAAGGCAGCUUGUUCAGCCAGGCCAUCACUGCCUCCACCUCUUAAACUCCUAAAGUUUCAGCUAAAGGCAAAGGAAGUCCACAACCCCUCAUAUCACCAAGUUGUUCAUCUUUCCUAACUUUUUUUUGCCAGAACAAAGCCAUCGCUGGAUUGAUUUGCAGCAUCAAGCACAUUUCGCGGCCUCACUCCUCCUAUUUCCUUGGUCACAGUGGGGCAGACACACCCGGGCAGACACAGCUGGGAACCACAGGUUAAACAUCUCCAAGCAAAAGUGAAUUUUGUUGUGUUCACAUUUCAAUUCAUGGCACCUCUGUGAGGCUGGGAGAGAGGACAAGUUAGGCUGACAUUUAAGUCACACCCUCGAGCCAUCUGAUGGGACGUAGCAGGCAGAGCAGCACCAGGGAAGAUGUGCAGACUGACCUGCAGGGAAGACUGAGGUAAACAUCACCACGAGCACUCGUGGAAGGGAAUAAAUGCAGCUCCCUGUAAAAAUGCUUUUCUUUUUUGCCCUCAACAUUUCCUCACAAACAAAGUAAGGCCUUUCAGAUGCCGGGAUUUUGGAAUGUGGGAGGGCUUUUGUUUGUUUUUCCAAGUAAUCACAAAUAACGCAGCAACGCCCCCAAACAGUUCUUAAAGUGCUUUCCUUAUCAUAGUUUGGGCAUAGAAUUAACU